This 333-nucleotide long non-coding RNA is filed under the name Vigna radiata. RNAcentral describes it as "long non-coding RNA (VRAD_LNC001116)". The record is from RNAcentral. Lineage: Eukaryota; Viridiplantae; Streptophyta; Magnoliopsida; Fabales; Fabaceae.
UGAGUAAGAGUGGUAUUAGAUCAUUGCCAUUCAUCUUUAAAAGUGUUUCUGCUGUUUUGAGCAAAUUUCAAAUACUGUUUNUAAGUCAUUUGAGUGGUUUCCAGUUCAGAAUUCAAGCCAUUGUGUAUUUUGACCAUUUGAGUUGAGAAAUUGAGUUGACAAUGGAACUGCACUAGUCAUUUUCUGGUAUAUGCUGUUUUUGACCAUUAACUUCGAUUCAAACAGUAUAGAAUCACUAUUGGCACAUGUUUGAAUCAUUGCAUUAAGUAACUAGUCAGUUCUAUACAUUUGGUAUUUGGUACUAGCCAAUUUGUGCUUUCAAACUGUUGUGUC